UUUAACAAGCUCAAGCUCAGUCAUUAACGGCACACUCAGAUAUGUGCCAUGAACAAAGAAUCAAACCUUGGACAACCACAUGAGGCUGUAAGAAGAAUGGAUGAAGUGAAGGCUUUUUCGUGCAAAAAGCCUACCAUAGAAGGAACCCGGGACCCCACCAAUGAAACAUGGCCCAAAUUCAUCUCCUUUCUCUUCCUUCAAUUUCUCAUAGAAAGCGGGCAACGACCUGAAAACGGUAUUGAAGUCGUUCCCUGGAAGGUCAUUCAAGUACACACGCAACUCCGGCAAUGGAUGUUUUAGACGGUCACAAUUUCCAGCAAUGGUAUCCAUGAUUUUGGAGAUGACCAUCAAAGUGUUGGGGCCUGAUGAACAACCCAAGUCUGCAAUUCCCAUGCUAUGUGGGAAUGUGUUGCAGUAGGCAUGUAGUAAAGCUUCUUCUAUCAUGGGCUUCAUUAUGGAUAUAACCUUCCUCUACCAAAGAAAAUACAUGAAUGAGUCAAUGAAUAAGAUUAUAAGAUAAUGAGGAAAAAUAAUUAAGA
Molecule: long non-coding RNA, 539 nt
Organism: Magnolia sinica
Lineage: Eukaryota; Viridiplantae; Streptophyta; Magnoliopsida; Magnoliales; Magnoliaceae
Exons: 2
Source: RefSeq, a predicted model, not a curated record